AAGUCGUAACAAGGUUUCCGUAGGUGAACCUGCGGAAGGAUCAUUAACACGUAUCCAAACGUUAAAACCCCCCCCGUGAACCUUCAUCCUGCUCUUGUAACCCGCGUAGUUCGCAAUCUCUGAUAAAUCAUAGCCCGGAAAGUUGUAGUGAUUCAGACUCAAUGUAAUACAUUGGGUAAAAAAACCGAACAACUGUUAACAAUGAAUAUCUUGGUUCUC
Molecule: unclassified non-coding RNA, 219 nt
Filed under: fungal sp.
Lineage: Eukaryota; Fungi
Description: partial internal transcribed spacer region
Rfam family: Eukaryotic small subunit ribosomal RNA (bases 1-46)
Source: RNAcentral